This is a long non-coding RNA of Passer domesticus (house sparrow), 4652 nucleotides long. RefSeq lists it as uncharacterized. Lineage: Eukaryota; Metazoa; Chordata; Aves; Passeriformes; Passeridae. The record is from RefSeq and is a predicted model, not a curated record. The transcript has 6 exons.
GAGGGCUGGAAAUGAACGGGGAAGCAGAGACAAACUGCGAGCGGCUGGUAAUACUGCAGGGAACAGGAGGAAUAAAACACUGCAGAAGAGUUGUCAGCUUGCCUCUCUUCAUCUGUGGUGGGAUUAGCAGAAAAGGUCCCUUGCCACAUGAUAGACAAAAAGUUAACUUCUCACCUUGAAAUCCUACAAGAGGAUGAAGUUACUUCGCUGCUGUGUAACAAAGUCGUGAGAGCUCACUGCAAUGAUCAUUACAACAAGGCCAUGUCUACACGGAGAGAUACCCACACAUCUGGAGAAGAAAAAUGAGAGAAGCAGUAAAAGGAGCACCUCAGGAAAAGAAACCCAAGUAAAUCUGAGCAGAUACUGCAGAGGGACUGAGGCAUUUGUGGAAGGUGGAACACGGGCUGCAGCAGCAUUAGUGCAGUGUUCUCACCAUAAAGAAGGCUGGGCUAAAGCUUCCAAAAGCUUUAUUUCCCUGAUAUGCAGUCAGACCAUGUGCCAGGAAGGAAGGACUCAGGAUGGAUCCUGCUGAUGAAUUACCUUGUCCAUUGAAUGCUCAUCCUCCAUCUCUCUGGGAAAACAAUAGGAUUCAACAAUCAGUGGGGCUCCAGGAACAGAUGGCACUCAGAACUCGGCAGAUGGCAAAAGAAAUCCCACAGGAUGUUCUUCUCUCCCCCCACAUAUAUACAUGAGAGCAUGUGUGUGCACAAAACAGCAGUGUCCUGAGGAGAUACUUUUGUGAAAGCCUUUGGAGUCUCUUCCCUUUGAACAACAUCUCACUGCCCAAUUUUACAACAGGAGAGAUCCAGCCGGGGCAGGAUACCAGAGGGGGACUCGGGGAGAACCUGUCUGUUCAUGGGUUUGCCACUCACCUGUGAUAAGCCUUUGGAUAGGCAAGUUUGGUCCUUCUUCUUCCCAUGCCAUGCUCAGUCCUUUAUUUUAAUUAUAGAUCCUCAGGGAGGAGAUUCUUCCAGUCUUUGGCUGUUAAGACUUGUACCAUGCUGGUGCUCCUCACUGCAGCUUCUGUUUCCCAGGAAGUGUUAGAGACACCUGCACUCUGUAGCAUUUUCUGCAUUUCACAGAGCUGAGCAUAAAGCUGUCCAUGAAAUGGAGAUGUGCCUGAUAGAGAGGCAAAUACAGGCAAGGAUAAACCACAGAAAAUCUACAAUCCUCCUUCUGCAUCAGGUCCUUGAUAAAGGCAGGGGAUAAAUCUUUCUGGCAGAGAGCUGUGUGAACAGGCACCACUGCUCCCAGUCCCCUUGGCCACGGAACAACUCCUGUGUGGGAUCACUUUGCAUUUACACCUGCAAUUUUUAUUAUAAUGUCCCUCUAAGGCAACUGCCUCCCAAAACUCUGCAUGGAGUCUGCAGUUACGCCCAAAUCCCACCCAUGCUAGAAAUGUCCCUUGUGUUGGAAGCACCAGCAGCUCAGAGGCCAUACCAGCACCAGGGCAAGGCACUCCAUGCUCACCUGAAGCUGGAGGUGGCAUUUCUAGUAGGCAGCAUUGCAAAAUCCAGGGCAGCAUUUAGUUUGGGUAUUUUCCAAAUCUGAAGUCCAGCCUGGAUUUUUCAGCCAGCCUCUUACUUCUGGAAGAAAGCAGCACACCAUUGCUUGUCACAGUACUGUUGAGUAUUUGCACAGCCCCACCAUGCCCUGACCCACCAGGCACACUCUCGACAUCACUGCAUUCCUGGCAGUUUGCUCUCCUGGAACAAACUGGCUCCUCUGAACGUGUCAUUGUAAUCACUUUGCAGCUCCAUGUUGCCUGUGCACAGCACCCCAGCCAGCCCUCCUCCCUAAAGCACUGCAAUUCCUCACAAAUAGAAAGCACUGGCAGCAAAUGCCACCUCACCUUCAGAGGAGUGGCACUGCCUUUAAUUGCUUCCAUUUCUCAGUCUCUGAUAGAGGCAGUUUCUUUGAUACAAACUUGUGCUCAUCUCUGGAGGAGGGAGUUUUACAUGCACAUGGAAAGGGCAGUGAAACUUUCCCUUCUGCAAACAGAACUCAUUUCUCUGGGCAGGGAGCUCCGGUGUGUCACUGAACCUGCAUGGACAUGACUGGUCAAACACAGGAUGCAGCAGGGUGCCAAUAUUUUUAAAAUAGUAUUAAAAGCUGAGGUUGGUGACAGAGUCUGAAAGGACAACAGCAAGGAGGGCAGAGUAACAAGUUUGACUGUUCUCGGAUUACCAAAUCACUGAACAGAUGGACUGGUUCCAUACAAACCUACAGCCCUUCCAAAACCAGGAGUACCAGACAUAUGCACAGACAAUUGUACACACAAAAGUGUGCUCGGCUACCCUGACACUCACAAUUUUGGCAACUCGGAGACAAAUCUGUUGUUUAAGCAGAGAGAACAGUGCUUUUUUUUUUUUUUUUUUCCUCUUACUUUCAUGGCAACCUGGCUGUCUGCAGCAGAGAUUAUUUCAGGUGGAAGAAAGUUGUUCUGUAUUUGCAUGACAGAGAGCACAGUAUGUUACAGACUGGGAAGACAUUGCCCAGCACCUCCCACCAUCUACCUCUCCAGCUCAGGGAGAGGCUUGGAAUGAUCACACCCAGACACCUUCACUCCAAAGUACCCUGGAGCCUGUUUGCAGCACUCUUCACUUGGUCUAAAAACAGUUCUGCAGCAGCACAAGGUGCACAAAACAGAGCAAGUCCAGCACUGGGAGCCAGGACUACCUCAAAGAGGCAGAGAAUCAACCCUGAAAUUGCAGAUUACUUCCUGGGCAGGAAUAUUUAAGAAUGGCCUGGCUUUGAGUAUUUUCUUUUCCAUCCUCGCCAUUUCAGUGGCAAUCUCACAGCUGUGCCAUCUUCCAGUGAGCACUGGCUGUUCUUUCAUACUCAAAGAUCUCUAUCAGCCAUAAACAUUUAGCCAAGUGAAUGAAUUUUUAAAAGUGUGGGGGACUCUAACAGCUGUGAUGUUUGAUUGAUUAGUUCCACAAGAAAUCACACAUAUAAAACAUAAUAGAGACAGCUAAACCUCCCAAUUGCUCUGUGGUCCAUGGACACAUGGUUGAGAGCUGGGUAAGCAAUCCUGGUAUGCCCAGGAUCUUCUCUGGAAUGGGAACUCAGGCCAUUUGUCCCAGAGCCCAGAGAACACAAGCAGGACAUUUGCUGGUGUCAGCCUCAGGCAUCGAGGAUGAGGAAAAUGCUGUAGGAAGGAGACAAGAGGGAGCAAGGAGGAGGAGAACAUGCUGGAGAUGCAAGACUCUCACCUCUGCUCAGACCAGCAAUCAAAAGAUGGACGCAAAAUAAAAUUGGAGGCCCCACUGGAAACUGAAGAAAUAAACACUGAGCAUUCCUUAACUACAAAUCAGAUUGUUUGGAUAAAAGAGGGGUUUGGACUCCACAGGAAACUCCAUUGCGGGUACUUCCUAUAUUUCGAGGAUGGGACCUCAUACAAACUUGUAAGACUUUUGUGACACAAUUAUUGUUGAUGUGGGGUGAUUACAGAUGUAAAAGCUGUCUGAGGUAUCUGAAUGUUGACAGUGAAUUUGAAACUACUCCAAGCUCAGACCCAGAGGAUUUCUAUGGGCUCAUUUCCAGUUAAAACACAUGGCUGAAGUCACGUGAUUCCAUGGACUAAGGCAGUUUCUAAUCAAAUCACGGCAGUAUUAGCAAUAGAUAGCUUCAUGUUUCUGUCAGAAGCCUUAUUAUUUUUCCUUAUUAUUUUUCCUGCCUUAAAGGAAAGAACCAGAGCUGCUCUGGCUGCCUCCAAGGCUGGUGAACAAGUUCCAUUAAACCUUGUUUAGAACAGCUACACUGGCUCAAACACAGGAAGAAUCUUACCCAAGUAAGGGGCUCAUAUCUCAGAAAAACAUCUUACAGUACUCUACAUUAAUUAAAGAUAAGGUGAUAUCAUUACAGAGAUAGACAUUGUUAUCAAGGCUGUUUUCAUGUCUGCAGAUGAACACUUCCAGAGAAAGAUAUUUCUGAAAACCUCCCAUUGUGUUUGAAAGCAUUUGCUAAAUGGAAUUACAAAGUUUCACUGGGUAGCAUAUUUUUGGGUGUGAUCCACAGCUCACUGAAGUCAAGAGGAAGGCAUGUAAAACUCUGGUUAACUGUCUCUACUCUGGAAAUUUGGGUUUUUCAGCAAGUGCAUUUAUCAUAUUAAAUGUAUACUGAGUUUCUCUUAUUUUGUUAGCUGUCAAAUAAAUGUUCAAAGGAGACAUUUUCAAGAAUCUACCUGCAUUACGUUGGACAAGAAACACUCACUGGGGCAAGGGAGCAAGAAAAGGCUGGGAAGGUUUUAGUUACUGCCAAAAUUUCCAACUAUUCAGUGCUGAAAGCACUGAGAACGCAUUUUUCUUCUUCAGCACAAAAAAAAAAAAAAAUCAUUGCUUCAGAGUAGAACCAGUAACUACAGUUGGAACCAGUAUCUAACAGUGCUUCAAAUGAGAAGUUUACACAUCAUAGCAAAGAUUUACUUAAUUUUAUGGGGAACACAAGGAAAGAAGCAUUUAAAGUGGGUGAGGAGGGGUUCUUUGUUGGCUUUGCUGCACUCCUGGGAAAAUAUUUUUUAUCAUUUGAAACCUAACACAAAGCCACUCCCAACACCUGACUCCUGCCCGUGUGUGCCCUGCAGCAUCUGCUGAGGGGACACGGGGAAGCUGCCACCAGGAAACCUCAGAAGAGAGCAGUGGCUGCCCCCA